Molecule: ribosomal RNA, 555 nt
Filed under: Neogloboquadrina pachyderma
Lineage: Eukaryota; Foraminifera; Rotaliida; Globorotaliidae
Description: SSU rRNA
Rfam family: Eukaryotic small subunit ribosomal RNA
Source: RNAcentral
GCACCACAAGAACGCGUGGAGCAUGUGGCUUAAUUUGACUCAACGCGGGAAAUCUUACCGGGUCCGGACACACUGAGGAUCGACAGGCAAUAUCUUGGCUGUUUAAUAACCGUUUAUUAAUAAACGGUUUAUUAAACAGAUCGAGUGUUAAAUAUGCUAGUCCUUUCAUGAUUAUGUGAUAGGUGGUGCAUGGCCGUUCUUAGUUCGUGGAGUGAUCUGUCUGCUUAAUUGCGUUUCACUAAGGGCCCAUAAAUUCAAGGUAUGUUAGCAAUCGUCGCUCUAUGGACCCCUUAUUUCAGUUUAUUAAUAAACUGUUAUAAGCGCGCGUCUUGUUUAAAGAAUUUAAGACACUGCGCAUGCUGUUGGGCUCUGAAAGCAACGAACGUGACCGCAACGUCUUGUUGCCUUAAUCAAGUCGGCUGUUUAAUAAUCUGUUUAAUUAAACAGACAGACAGCAGUCAUUAUAUGGCUUAUCCGAGGCUAUUUAAAACUAGACGAACCGCUGUUUCUUUUCUUAAACCAGAGGAAGGUUGCGGCAAUAACAGGUCUGUGAUG